UGUAGCUCAGUGGCAGAGCAUUUGUCUGGCAUAUGUGGGGCCCUAGGUUCAAUUCCUAGUA
Molecule: transfer RNA, 61 nt
Filed under: Dipodomys ordii (Ord's kangaroo rat)
Lineage: Eukaryota; Metazoa; Chordata; Mammalia; Rodentia; Heteromyidae
Rfam family: tRNA
About the family: Transfer RNA (tRNA) molecules are approximately 80 nucleotides in length. Their secondary structure includes four short double-helical elements and three loops (D, anti-codon, and T loops).
Source: Rfam by way of RNAcentral